GACGAACGCUGGCGGCGUGCUUAACACAUGCAAGUCGAACGGAAAGACCCUGCUUUUGUGGGGUGCUCGAGUGGCGAACGGGUGAGUAACACGUGAGUAACCUGCCCUUGACUUUGGGAUAACUUCAGGAAACUGGGGCUAAUACCGGAUAGGAGCUCCUGCUGCAUGGUGGGGGUUGGAAAGUUUCGGCGGUUGGGGAUGGACUCGCGGCUCAUCAGCUUGUUGGUGGGGUAGUGGCUUACCAAGGCUUUGACGGGUAGCCGGCCUGAGAGGGUGACCGGCCACAUUGGGACUGAGAUACGGCCCAGACUCCUACGGGAGGCAGCAGUGGGGAAUAUUGCACAAUGGGCGGAAGCCUGAUGCAGCAACGCCGCGUGCGGGAUGACGGCCUUCGGGUUGUAAACCGCUUUCGCCUGUGACGAAGCGUGAGUGACGGUAAUGGGUAAAGAAGCACCGGCUAACUACGUG
Molecule: ribosomal RNA, 468 nt
Filed under: uncultured bacterium
Lineage: Bacteria
Description: partial 16S ribosomal RNA
Rfam family: Bacterial small subunit ribosomal RNA
Source: RNAcentral